RNAcentral lists this ribosomal RNA (622 nucleotides) under uncultured bacterium. Its description in RNAcentral is "bacterial SSU rRNA". It matches the Rfam family "Bacterial small subunit ribosomal RNA", at positions 29 to 632 of the family's 1533-position model. The record is from RNAcentral.
AUGUAAGCUAGCGGGAAGCUUUACACAUGACAAGUCGAACGGCAGCACGAGAUAAGCUUGCUUAUUUUGGUGGCGAGUGGCGAACGGGUGAGUAAUGUAUCGGAACGUGCCCAGUAGCGGGGGAUAACUACGCGAAAGCGUGGCUAAUACCGCAUACGCCCUACGGGGGAAAGGGGGGGAUCCUUCGGGACCUCUCACUAUUGGAGCGGCCGAUAUCAGAUUAGCUAGUUGGUGGGGUAAUGGCCUACCAAGGCCGCGAUCUGUAGCUGGUUUGAGAGGACGACCAGCCACACUGGGACUGAGACACGGCCCAGACUCCUACGGGAGGCAGCAGUGGGGAAUUUUGGACAAUGGGGGCAACCCUGAUCCAGCCAUCCCGCGUGUGCGAUGAAGGCCUUCGGGUUGUAAAGCACUUUUGGCAGGGAAGAAAAGGCACGGGCUAAUAUCCUGUGUCGCUGACGGUACCUGCAGAAUAAGCACCGGCUAACUACGUGCCAGCAGCCGCGGUAAUACGUAGGGUGCAAGCGUUAAUCGGAAUUACUGGGCGUAAAGCGUGCGUCCGGCGGUUUGGCAAGAAAGGUGUGAAAUCCCAGAAGCUUAACUUUGGAAACUGCACUUUUAA